GCCCGGGUGGCUCAGUCGGUUGAGCGUCUGACUUUGGCUCAGGUCAUGAUCUCACAGCUCUGUGGGUUCGAGCCCCACAUCGGGCU
RNAcentral lists this transfer RNA (86 nucleotides) under Felis catus (domestic cat). It matches the Rfam family "tRNA". Rfam says of the family: Transfer RNA (tRNA) molecules are approximately 80 nucleotides in length. Their secondary structure includes four short double-helical elements and three loops (D, anti-codon, and T loops). Lineage: Eukaryota; Metazoa; Chordata; Mammalia; Carnivora; Felidae. The record is from Rfam by way of RNAcentral.